RNAcentral lists this ribosomal RNA (292 nucleotides) under uncultured bacterium. RNAcentral's name for it is "partial 16S ribosomal RNA". It matches the Rfam family "Bacterial small subunit ribosomal RNA", at positions 505 to 796 of the family's 1533-position model. The record is from RNAcentral.
GUGCCAGCCGCCGCGGUAAUACGGAGGGUGCAAGCGUUAAUCGGAAUUACUGGGCGUAAAGCGCACGCAGGCGGUUUGGUAAGUCAGAUGUGAAAGCCCGGGGCUUAACCCCGGAAGUGCAUUUGAUACUGCCAGGCUUGAGUAUGGGAGAGGGAAGUGGAAUUCCUGGUGUAGAGGUGAAAUUCGUAGAUAUCAGGAGGAACACCGGUGGCGAAGGCGGCUUCCUGGACCAAUACUGACGCUGAGGUGCGAAAGCGUGGGGAGCAAACAGGAUUAGAUACCCCAGUAGUCC